CGUACAGAACCUCCCUCCAAGUGGUGAAUAGCCUUCCGAAAGGAAGAUUAAUACACCGUAAUAUUAUAGAGUGGCAUCACCUUAUAAUUAUAGAUUUAUCGCUUAGAGAUGGCUGUGCGGCUGAUUAGGUAGUUGGCGGGGUAAUAGCCCACCAAGCCUGCGAUCAGUAACUGGUGUGAGAGCACGACCAGUCACACGGGCACUGAGACACGGGCCCG
This 218-nucleotide ribosomal RNA is filed under the name uncultured bacterium. RNAcentral describes it as "partial 16S ribosomal RNA". It matches the Rfam family "Bacterial small subunit ribosomal RNA", at positions 116 to 334 of the family's 1533-position model. The record is from RNAcentral.